UACGAAGGUCCCGAGCGUUGUUCGGAAUCACUGGGCGUAAAGGGAGCGUAGGCGGCGCGGUAAGUCAGAUGUGAAAUCCCGGGGCUCAACCCCGGAACUGCAUCCGAUACUGCCGUGCUAGAGGAUUGGAGAGGUAGCUGGAAUUCUUGGUGUAGCAGUGAAAUGCGUGGAGAUCAAGAGGAACACUCGUGGCGAAAGCGAGCUACUGGACAAUAACUGACGCUGAGGCUCGAAGGCCAGGGUAGCGAAAGGG
RNAcentral lists this ribosomal RNA (253 nucleotides) under uncultured bacterium. Its description in RNAcentral is "partial 16S ribosomal RNA". It matches the Rfam family "Bacterial small subunit ribosomal RNA", at positions 524 to 776 of the family's 1533-position model. The record is from RNAcentral.